This 464-nucleotide ribosomal RNA is filed under the name uncultured bacterium. RNAcentral describes it as "partial 16S ribosomal RNA". It matches the Rfam family "Bacterial small subunit ribosomal RNA", at positions 29 to 507 of the family's 1533-position model. The record is from RNAcentral.
ACGCACGCUGGCGGCGUGCUUAACCCAUGCCGGUCGCACGGAAAGGCCCUGCUUGCAGGGUACUCGAGUGGCGAACGGGUGAGUAACACGUGGGUGAUCUGCCCUGCACUUCGGGAUAAGCCUGGGAAACUGGGUCUAAUACCGGAUAGGAGCCAUUUUUAGUGUGAUGGUUGGAAAGUUUUUUCGGUGUAGGAUGAGCUCGCGGCCUAUCAGCUUGUUGGUGGGGUAAUGGCCUACCAAGGCGGCGACGGGUAGCCGGCCUGAGAGGGUGGACGGCCACAUUGGGACUGAGAUACGGCCCAGACUCCUACGGGAGGCAGCAGUGGGGAAUAUUGCACAAUGGGCGCAAGCCUGAUGCAGCGACGCCGCGUGGGGGAUGACGGCCUUCGGGUUGUAAACUCCUUUCGCUAGGGACGAAGCUUUUUGUGACGGUACCUAGAUAAGAAGCACCGGCUAACUACGUG